Molecule: ribosomal RNA, 301 nt
Filed under: uncultured bacterium
Lineage: Bacteria
Description: partial 16S ribosomal RNA
Rfam family: Bacterial small subunit ribosomal RNA
Source: RNAcentral
CAGUAGCCGCGGUAAUACAGAGGGUGCGAGCGUUAAUCGGAUUUACUGGGCGUAAAGCGUGCGUAGGCGGCUUCUUAAGUCGGAUGUGAAAUCCCCGAGCUUAACUUGGGAAUUGCAUUCGAUACUGGUUAGCUAGAGUGUGGGAGAGGAUGGUAGAAUUCCAGGUGUAGCGGUGAAAUGCGUAGAGAUCUGGAGGAAUACCGAUGGCGAAGGCAGCCAUCUGGCCUAACACUGACGCUGAGGUACGAAAGCAUGGGGAGCAAACAGGAUUAGAUACCCCCGUAGUCCCUGUCUCUUAUAC